RNAcentral lists this non-coding RNA (1364 nucleotides) under Pongo abelii (Sumatran orangutan). Lineage: Eukaryota; Metazoa; Chordata; Mammalia; Primates; Hominidae. The record is from RNAcentral.
GAUCCUCCCUACUUAGCCUCCCAAAACACUGAGAUUGCAGCCACGAGCCACUGCGCCUGGCCAGGUUUGAUUUCUGUAGUAGCUGUUCAAUUGUGGGUCAAGGGUCAGGUUCUGGGGUAAGGAGGUAUUGGGCUUCUCACAUUUAAGGUCAGAAGUCCAGUCCUGGGUCAGGGGUUGGGAUCAGAGAUCAAGGCUGAGCUCUGAGUUUGGAGGUCAGGGAUUGGACUCUCAGUGAUUGAAAUCCUUAGGUCAGAGGUACAGUCACUGAGGAUGGGGGUCAGGAGUGGAGUUCGGGACAGUCAAAGUCGAGGUUAAGUUUUGGGUCAUCACCUCCUUCCGCUGGGGCACGCGGCGCCACCAGACGUGGUCGCAGGAGGAGCAGGCAAACUGCCGGUCCACAGCAGGGAUAAGGUCGUCCUGGGCACGUUGAAACAUGCGUAGGUUGGCUUCUGUCAGUGGCAGGAGGGAGGUCGCCACUGCCUGUGGAAUGGGGCAGGUGGGGAUGAGGUUGGGGGGGUGUCACCCCUUCUGCACCAACAUAACCAUCAGCCCUCCUCUCCCUACAGAUGAGUCCUCUUCCUGCCCCAGUGAAUAUCUCCCCUCCUGCCCUAAUGGACAUCCUUCUGUGCCUGCAGAUGUCCCCCUCCCCACUUCCCCAUCCCAAGCCUUAGCCACCAACUCACCUGAAUGUCCCGGUCCUGUUUCAUAUCUUCUGGUGGAUCCUGGGUGGAGAUAGCAGGGGCAGAAACUGGGGAUGGGGCUCAGGUCUCUUUCCACCUGUUUGCUGGGGGAGGCCCCCGGCCGCAAUGAGAAUAGGGUGCCCCUAACUCGCCAGGAGCUCACAGAGCACCACUCACUUAUUGAGAGCCAGGUGUGUGGCCUCAGUUGUCCUCAUAGCAGCCCUGAGAGGUGGGCACACCUGUUACCUUAUUGCUCAGAUGGGAAAACUGAGGCUUAGGGGAGGGCUUGCCUGAGUGAGGCCAGCCUGACCCCCGUACUCACUUCCUGCCUGCAAAUGCCACAUGCUUGUUGGUGUUGUGACAUGUCGCCCCUUUGAGGCCAUGUUGUGCUCGGCUAAGUGGUGGGGAUCUGGAUUGAGAGGAAUGUGGGUUCGAAUCCCAGCUGUAUCACUUCCAGCUGUGGGGACUUGGGCAAGCCACUCCCUGCCCCCUGGGUUCCCACUGACAGGCAUGUUAGAGCCCAGGCUCUGACUCCAGGUGGCCAGGGUUCAAAUCGCAGCUGCCACCUGCUUGCUGGCAAGUGACUUCAGCCUCAGUUUCUUUGUCUGUGAAAUGGGGAUAAAUAAUAGGACCUGUCUCCUGGGGUCACUGCGGUGAUGAAAUAAAUCAAUUCCUGGUGUCUUG